CCUUCGGCUUGGUUCGCUUAUUGUUAGACUCCAUUUCAUCGACCUGGCGCAUGCCAAAAAACUGAGCGCCCACGUAGAAUACCCGACACUCUUAGACACUGCCAAGGAAUGCACACGCGUAUCCUACUCAACGUGCUCAGGAAAAUACGGGACGGGGAACUUCGUUGAUUCCGACGUGCUCGGUAAACUUGUUAGGGGGAUAAUUUGACGUCACAUGGCCGCCACACGCUGCGUCAACGCCAACGACGGCAGAACCGUCAACUACUUUCUACCUAACCGAAUCCGGCGCCAAAUUCAAAUGGCGUUAGCGGGACUUGGAGCGUCGUAACGAAUCGGCCCCCCUGCUCUUCGUUUAAUCUACAUUUGAAACAAAAUGUUACUCUCACGGUUUACUCGUAUAUGCAUAAACAGGAAUCACACAAUUACACAUGAAUAGCAGCGUUCGUUGGGAAAUGUAACAGAUGCAGCGCUCCAUUUUUCGUUUAUUCGUGACAUAGCAGUACCAUAGAAGAAAAGAAAUGAUCGCAAUUUCACGCAACAGACAACUGUGCGUGUUACAAAAAUGCACGUAAGAAUGAUAGAUACAACUAUUGAAAUUCGGCACAUCAUAUGCUUUCGAACGAUUACAACUGGUAGUAAGUGAAAAGAGUUUACUGUUCCUCUACGAUAAUAUUCUACCUCUUUCUACACCAGGGAUACAAAACAUUGCCGAUAUUCUAAUCUAUUGGUUAAGCUUCGAUAUCUAUCGACGGCAAGAUGAAAUUUUGUACAGCUGUUUGAUCCACAUGCCUCGAAGAUAUAUCGACCAACAGCCGAUUGUUUAACGAAGGAAUUACUAAAUUGGCAGUACAUAAAGUAACAAUAUCUAACGUUGUCAAUAAUAUGUAAAUACAUCUCUCAUUUGGACCCUA
Neodiprion fabricii is the source of this 911-nucleotide long non-coding RNA. RefSeq lists it as uncharacterized. The record is from RefSeq and is a predicted model, not a curated record. NCBI's taxonomy places the organism in Eukaryota, Metazoa, Arthropoda, Insecta, Hymenoptera, Diprionidae. The transcript is spliced from 2 exons.